CCUACGGGGUGCAGCAGUGAGGAAUAUUGGUCAAUGGACGAGAGUCUGAACCAGCCAAGUAGCGUGAAGGAUGACUGCCCUAUGGGUUGUAAACUUCUUUUAUAUGGGAAUAAAAUGUUCCACGUGUGGGAUUUUGUAUGUACCAUAUGAAUAAGGAUCGGCUAACUCCGUGCCAGCAGCCGCGGUAAUACGGAGGAUCCGAGCGUUAUCCGGAUUUAUUGGGUAUAAAGGGAGCGUAGGUGGAUUGUUAAGUCAGUUGUGAAAGUUUGCGGCUCAACCGUAAAAUUGCAGUUGAAACUGGCAGUCUUGAGUACAGUAGAGGUGGGCGGAAUUCGUGGUGUAGCGGUGAAAUGCUUAGAUAUCACGAAGAACUCCGAUUGCGAAGGCAGUUCACUGACUGCAACUGACACUGAGGCUCGAAAGUGUGGGUAUCAAACAGGAUUAGAUACCCUUGUAGUC
This 459-nucleotide ribosomal RNA is filed under the name uncultured bacterium. RNAcentral describes it as "partial 16S ribosomal RNA". It matches the Rfam family "Bacterial small subunit ribosomal RNA", at positions 338 to 795 of the family's 1533-position model. The record is from RNAcentral.